CUGGCCAUAUCAUGUUAAAAAAACUAGUCUGCAUAUGAUCACUGAAAUUAAGCAAUGUUGAGCCUGGUCAGUACGUAGAUGGGUAACAGCUUGGGAAUACCAGGUGCUGUA
Molecule: non-coding RNA, 111 nt
Organism: Acanthosepion pharaonis
Lineage: Eukaryota; Metazoa; Mollusca; Cephalopoda; Sepiida; Sepiidae
Source: the annotation of a GenBank genome assembly